Molecule: non-coding RNA, 2766 nt
Organism: Monodelphis domestica (gray short-tailed opossum)
Lineage: Eukaryota; Metazoa; Chordata; Mammalia; Didelphimorphia; Didelphidae
Source: RefSeq, a predicted model, not a curated record
AUCAAUUACAAAAGUAUCUAUUUAGCAUUCAAAACCCUUCAUAACCAUCUGCCCCUUCUACCUUUCAGGUCUUCAUUUAUCUUACUUCUUGCUACAUAAUUUUUGAUCCACUUAUACUAUGGAUAAUAUAUAUGUAUAAAUAUAUACAUAUAUAUAUAUAUAUGUAUAUAUAUGUAUCUUCCACUGAAAUGCUGUGAAAGACUCAGAAUUCUUGAGUUUGUGGAAACAGACUUCAAAGUACACUCAUAAAUGCCAGAGGAGAGAAGAGUUGGCCAUACAUAGGCACUGCAAUAAACACUUGCUACACAAAUAAAGGAAAACAGGAUGGUCCCUGGAAAGCAGAGGUGGAAAUUGGGGCUGGGAGAAGGAAAGAAGGAAAGUCUCCUCAAACAGUUCAAAGAUUCAACUUCAUCUUCUUUGGUGGGUUUAAUUCAUGGACUAGAACAGACUGCUUCUUGUAAAGGGAAGACAUACUGUGGAGAGACUGAAUGCAAACUGCCCCUUGCUAGGGGAGCUUUUUCCUGAGGAAGCAAGAAUAAUCAUCAUCAUAAUAUAAGCUUGAAAUUCAUGCUUUUCUCCUCUUCAGUCCAGAGUCUGAAAGUGCUUGCUGAUGUCUUCAGUACUACAGUGGCUUACUGAACAAAAGGAAGUCUGGGGACACGCCCUGGACAGAUUAAGUCCUGUCCUAACAAGAAGGAUAUAAGGAUUUUCUGAUGAGACUAGGAGUUUGCCUCAGAAUUGGCUUUCUGGUUAUUGGUACUUCAGAGCUGCUGUCUGGACUUCGGAUUGAUUCGCCUUUUCCAGCUCUCCAGUUUCUGAGGAUUUCCUGGUCUCCCGUAGCCUUCAAGGAUGCGGACCUAUCUUCUUAUGUUGAAUUCUUUCUCUGGAUGUAGAAAGCAUUCUUUCUCAUUAUCCCACUGGAUUGUCCUGGAUCAUUGCAUUGCUACUAGUAGAGAAGUUCAUUACAUUUCAAUGUGCCACAAUAUAUCAGUUUCUGUGUACAAUGUUCUCCUGGUUCUGGAGCAGUUAUUUGUUAACCAAGAGGCUGACAGAAGACAUGGAGAAAGAGCAAGAGAGCUUGAGUGGUAGAAGCAUGGGAUUGUGAGAUAGAGAACCUGAGUUUGAAAUACUGCCAUCUAUUCCUUCAGAAAUCUUUGCCAAAUCACUUCACAUCUAUAGACCCAUUUUCCUCAUCUGUAAAAUGAGAGUGUUGUAGAAGAUGGCAUCCAAAUUCUUUUCCAGCUCUACAUUUUAUGGCUAUGAAGAUGCCAAAAAAGGCAAAAUGAUCAAGAUGAGUUCGUCUUUAUUGAAUACAAUUUAUACCAGGGAUGAUUUCUGUUAGUUCAGCUAAUAUUUCAAACCUUCCUUAUAGUGUGAUGAUAUUUCUUCUGAAGUAGGUCUCCUGUGAAUAAUGUUGUUUAUAGGAAUUUCUUUGGUUCAUUUUAUUGAUUUCCAGUCUUGAAUUCUAAGAAAGAUUAAUUAAUUAGAACUCAGGGUUCUCUUUUGUGCCAUUGCAAAUUAACAGGGUCCUCUUGUUUUUCUUCCCACUCAUUUUCAUAAAUCUUAGGAUCUAGUUAAGAAUCACAGUUAAGCUCUUCCUUAGAGAGAGGAGAUGAGACUGAACUUUCUAAGCCUAUUCGUUUUCUCUUCUGUUUUAUUAAAGACUGGGAGUGAGAACAAUGACUCCUGAAGAAUGGAUUUUUUUUUAUAAUGUAAAAGCCUUGUUAUGACAGUAUUUAUUCAAGGAGCACAAAUAUUGAUAUGAUUAGAUGCCUUAUUGUACUCUAAUAAAAUAAAUACAAAAUAAAAUGCACUGGUCACUGGAACACAAAUAAUUCAAAGCUCAUUCCCUCCUCCCCUAGUCCCCUAUGUUUCAAAAGAACAAGAUUAUACAUUGAUAUAAAUUAUGGAAUAGUUAUUCUAAUCAAGUUAUUCAGUAUGGUGACCCUUCUGGUUCAUAUUUCAACUUCUAUUUUGUUAAAUAUUUAUUAGCAUUUGGGCCCAAGCUAUUAUUUCUUUUAUUCUGUCAUUCAACAGCCAUGCAGUCUAUGAUUUAUCUGCAGAGUAUUGUGCUAGAGGAUAAGGGACGUUCAUAGUUUCAAUCAGGCAAUUUGUUGGUGUUGAUCAGUAUUUUUACCUAACUUGUUUUGGACUCACAGGUUCUUGGUUAAACUAGCAUCUGUAAUUCUUACUAGUGCUGUGAACUCAGGUAAGUCAUUAAGCUCCCUUGGGCCUCAGUUUUCAUUCCUGUAAAUUGAACAGUGGACUAGAUGACCUCUAAGAUUCCUUCUGCCUCUUAAGAAACUUAAUACAAGCAUUUAAAAACAAAAGUAAUUAUUUCCAAAAUUCAUCAAAAUUUCUAAAUAUUUAACUGACUAAAUAAUUUUUUAAUUUCUUACUGUAGUUUUUUUAAAAAUCCUAACAAAGUGCUAAAAAUUAACAUCUAAUAUAAAUUUGCCUGACCAUAACUCCAUCUUGAAAUUGCUCAUUGAUAAAUCACCUGCUGCCUCAAAGGAGUUAGAAUUUCUGUUGUUGCCUGAUCAGAAGGGCCCUUCUCUGUUUUGUCCCUUCACUCAGGGGAGCAAUGAUUUCUUGGAAGUUCUUCCCUCUCCUUCUGGCCUGUAAAGUCCUUGAAAUUUGCUGUGAAUGCUCUUGUAAAUCCCAGGGUGCCUAUGUAAGGCUGACUAGGUUUUCUGAGAUACUCACAUACACCCAUACCUAUGCAUAUGCCGACAAACACACACACACACACACACACACACACAC